Molecule: ribosomal RNA, 460 nt
Filed under: uncultured bacterium
Lineage: Bacteria
Description: partial 16S ribosomal RNA
Rfam family: Bacterial small subunit ribosomal RNA
Source: RNAcentral
CCUACGGGUGGCAGCAGUGAGGAAUAUUGGUCAAUGGGCGGAAGCCUGAACCAGCCAAGUCGCGUGAGGGAUUAAGGCCCUGCGGGUCGUAAACCUCUUUUGCCGGGGAGCAGUGGUCCGGACGCGUCCGGACCGGGAGAGUACCCGGAGAAACAGCAUCGGCUAACUCCGUGCCAGCAGCCGCGGUAAUACGGAGGAUGCGAGCGUUAUCCGGAUGUAUUGGGUUUAAAGGGUGCGCAGGCGGAGGAACAAGUCAGCGGUAAAAUCGCGGGGCUCAACCCCCCUCCGCCGUUGAAACUGGGUGCCUUGAGUGCGCGAAGGGUAGGCGGAAUGCGUGGUGUAGCGGUGAAAUGCAUAGAUAUCACGCAGAACUCCGAUCGCGAAGGCAGCCUACCGGCGCGCAACUGACGCUCAUGCACGAAAGCGUGGGUAUCGAACAGGAUUAGAUACCCGAGUAGUC